UCUCUGCUAGUAUAUCGGUUAGUACACGCGCCUGUCACUGACUACUACUUUGUUUCCGCGCGAAAGCUGGGUUCGACUCCCAGGCAGAGAG
Termitomyces sp. T32_za158 is the source of this 91-nucleotide non-coding RNA. The record is from the annotation of a GenBank genome assembly. Lineage: Eukaryota; Fungi; Basidiomycota; Agaricomycetes; Agaricales; Lyophyllaceae.